GUGCCUUCAACUCUGUACCAACAAAAGCAAAGUUUUAAAUGGAGAUUCAGCAGCAAAAGAUAAGAUCAUAUAUAUACUUACCAAUUUCAUUAAACAGGAUUUUCAUAUCUCAACUACAAGAAGCAUUUCAACCAGUAAAGGUGAAGAAAUUGAAGGCAGACACGUAUGUAAAAGGGCAAGAGGAACUAGGAAAUAAUAAAUAACCACUUCCUACUAUUGGUGCAUGUUACUUAAAUCACACAAUUGUUAAACAAAAAUUGUAAUAGAUCUUAUCUAUAGAACUUAGAUCCUA
Molecule: unclassified non-coding RNA, 292 nt
Filed under: Hevea brasiliensis (rubber tree)
Lineage: Eukaryota; Viridiplantae; Streptophyta; Magnoliopsida; Malpighiales; Euphorbiaceae
Source: RNAcentral